Molecule: long non-coding RNA, 1996 nt
Organism: Cuculus canorus (common cuckoo)
Lineage: Eukaryota; Metazoa; Chordata; Aves; Cuculiformes; Cuculidae
Exons: 5
Source: RefSeq, a predicted model, not a curated record
UGAGAUACUUUCUCUCCUCCCUGAAAACACAUGGGUGACUGAGGAUUUGUAUUUGGUCAAUCUUCUCCUUCUUGUUCCUUUCUUCCCGUGGCACUGGCCAUGCACUGUUGUGUAGAUCUGCUCUCUAGGCAUAAGUGGCAUCAGGACAAACAAAUAAUGAUGUUUCACUGGUGACAGUGUCUUGCACGUGUGGGAAGCACUGCAUGUAGCUCUGGAUGCAAGUGGAUAUAAUGGGUGGUGUUAACCUCCUCACUGCCCACCCCUUUACCAAAGGUUAUUUUUCUGGUAGCCAGGAGGACUGAAUACAAUGUGUAUCUGCUCUCUAGCUGCCAUAGCUAAGCCCUGUUUAUGUACUCUGUACUCUGAAAUCCCCUCUGCAUCUCCUCUAAUUCAUGUUUAUGUCCUUCAGGGUGGGGCUGGGCUCGCCUGUUGAGAAGACAACAGAGGUCUUCAGGAUCUGAUCCUGCAGUAUGUGGGUUCUUGUAAAGCACAUCCAACUGUGGGGCCAAAUUCGACCCUGGAGCAAGGGGCACAUUCAGCUGUUUGAAGAGGAGCUGUGGGGGUUUACACCAUGAUUGGAAUUAGCACAUAGCUUCCUGUUCAGCAGUAAAUCCCUGUGGCAGCAAGAUGAACAGGCAGGCUACUUUUUGCGUAAGGUCAGAGAGAAUCAACUCAACUGAGCUGAAUUGUUUUGUAACCCAAUCAUGCUUAAUUCGGUUACAGGAAAAACAAGGCCAGUGGAGUUUCAACCUUGUUCCUGUGCAACAUCAGGGAUCUGAUUUGUGCCGAUCUCAUAAUCGGGUGCAGACAACAAGGAAAACAAGUCCUUGCAGUGGUUUCUUUACUGAGCCUAACCAACCACAUCUGAUAAGCCAUAUAAUUUGCUGCAGCAAUUUGUGCCAAAAAUAAAAGGCACAGUCCUACAGUGCAGCACGUUUCUGAGAAAAACAGAUCUCCACCCCUUCCCUUUGUAGCAUCUUUUUUUCUCUUGCUUUUGCUUUCUCAGUGAGACUGAGCCAAUGUCUUCCAUCCCAGCUGACUGGAUCUGUGCUGCUGUUGGGGUGGCCUGACUACGCGUGAGAGCUGGAAAUUCAAGUGGAGGGGAAAGACAGUAUUAGCAGAAGCUUCAGAAAUUACCUUGAGGGAAGUUCUGUAACUGCUCUGUGUCCUGCUCCAACAUAAAGUGGAGACCAUACUUGCAGGAGGCUGAGUAUUGAUUUGUGGCUUCUGUUUGUGCACUGGGGUGGCUUAGUUCAAGUCCUUUGGUCUCAACUGCUGGUAUUUCUUGCAACGCCUUAUAGAAAACCAACCAUACCUGAGCUGCAUCAAAAGAAGCAUAACCAACAGGUCAAGGGAGAUGAUUCUGCCCCACUUCUCUGCUCUCACGAGUCCUCACCUGGAGUACUGUGUUCAGCUCUGGAGUCCUUGGCACAGGAUUGACAUUGAUCUGUUAGAGAGAGUCCAGAAGAGGGCCAUGAAGAUGAUCAGAGGGCUGGAGCACCUCUGCUACGUGGACUGGCUGAGAGAGUUGGGGUUGUUCAGCCUGGAGAGAACGGGAGACUGAAGAGACCUUAUAGCAGCCUUCCAAUAUUUAAAGGGGACCUAUAGGAAAGAUGGGGAGGGGCUCUUUAUCAGGGAGUGCAGUAAUAAGAUGAGGGGUAGUGGUUUUAAGCUGAAAGAGGGGAGAUAUAGAUGAGAUAUAAAAAGAAUUUUUUUACUCUGAGGUUGGUGAGGCAUUAGAACAAGUUACCCAGAGAAGUUGUGGAUGUCCCAUCCCUGGACGUGUUCAAGACCAGGCUGGAUGUGGCUUUCAACAAACUGAUCUAGCGGAAGUUGUCCCUGCCCAUGGCAGGGGGGUUGGAAUGAGAUGAUCUUUAAGGUUCUUUCCAACCCAAACUACUCUAUGAUUCUUUGAAACAUCUUUCAGUGAAUGUAUGUUGUUUAGCAGAUAUAUUUUAAUUUUUUUGAUGGCAAAUCAUCAACGUAUGAAGUUGAA